This 494-nucleotide ribosomal RNA is filed under the name uncultured bacterium. RNAcentral's name for it is "partial 16S ribosomal RNA". It matches the Rfam family "Bacterial small subunit ribosomal RNA", at positions 28 to 507 of the family's 1533-position model. The record is from RNAcentral.
GACGAACGCUGGCGGCGUGCUUAACACAUGCAAGUCGAACGGAAAGGCCUGCUUUCCCUUGUGGAUUGCGGGUACUCGAGUGGCGAACGGGUGAGUAACACGUGAGUGAUCUGCCCCCAACUUGGGUAUAAGCCUGGGAAACUGGGUCUAAUUCCCGAUAGGACUGAAGGGUGGUGCCUGUGUGGGAAACCGAUUUUCUAGUGGUUGGGGAUGAGCUCGCGGCCUAUCAGCUUGUUGGUGGGGUAAUGGCCUACCAAGGCGGCGACGGGUAGCCGGCCUGAGAGGGUGGACGGCCACAUUGGGACUGAGAUACGGCCCAGACUCCUACGGGAGGCAGCAGUGGGGAAUAUUGCACAAUGGGCGGAAGCCUGAUGCAGCGACGCCGCGUGGGGGAUGACGGCCUUCGGGUUGUAAACUCCUUUCGACCGCGAGGAAGCCACCUGGUUGGAAGGGUGGUGACGGUAGUGGUAGAAGAAGCACCGGCUAACUACGUG